Molecule: ribosomal RNA, 497 nt
Filed under: uncultured bacterium
Lineage: Bacteria
Description: partial 16S ribosomal RNA
Rfam family: Bacterial small subunit ribosomal RNA
Source: RNAcentral
GAUGAACGCUGGCGGCGUGCCUAAUACAUGCAAGUCGAGCGAACAGAUGAGGAGCUUGCUCCUCUUACGUUAGCGGCGGACGUGUGAGUAACACGUGGAUAACCUACCUAUAAGACUGGGAUAACUUCGGGAAACCGGAGCUAAUACCGGAUAAUAUAUUGAACCGCAUGGUUCAAUAGUGAAAGACGGGUUUUCUGUCACUUAUAGAUGGAUCCGCGCCGCAUUAGCUAGUUGGUAAGGUAACGGCUUACCAAGGCAACGAUGCGUAGCCGACCUGAGAGGGUGAUCGGCCACACUGGAACUGAGACACGGUCCAGACUCCUACGGGAGGCAGCAGUAGGGAAUCUUCCGCAAUGGGCGAAAGCCUGACGGAGCAACGCCGCGUGAGUGAUGAAGGUCUUCGGAUCGUAAAACUCUGUUAUUAGGGAAGAACAAAUGUGUAAGUAACUAUGCACGUCUUGACGGUACCUAAUCAGAAAGCCACGGCUAACUACGUG